RNAcentral lists this ribosomal RNA (301 nucleotides) under uncultured bacterium. RNAcentral describes it as "partial 16S ribosomal RNA". It matches the Rfam family "Bacterial small subunit ribosomal RNA", at positions 509 to 807 of the family's 1533-position model. The record is from RNAcentral.
CAGCCGCCACGGGAAUACGAAGGGUGCAAGCGUUGAUCGGAAUUACUGGGCGUAAAGCGUGCGUAGGCGGUGAGUUAAGUCUGCUGUGAAAUCCCCGGGCUCAACCUGGGAAUGGCAGUGGAUACUGGCAAGCUAGAGUGUGUCAGAGGAUGGUGGAAUUCCCGGUGUAGCGGUGAAAUGCGUAGAGAUCGGGAGGAACAUCAGUGGCGAAGGCGGCCAUCUGGGACAACACUGACGCUGAGGCACGAAAGCGUGGGGAGCAAACAGGAUUAGAUACCCGGGUAGUCCCUGUCUCUUAUAC